GCCUCUAUGGCACAGGGGUAAUGCGUGUCACUCGUAUAGUCAAUGAACUUGCGGUGUUAUGACAAGAUCCGCGGUUCGAUUCCGCGUGGAGGCA
Molecule: transfer RNA, 94 nt
Filed under: Xylaria intraflava
Lineage: Eukaryota; Fungi; Ascomycota; Sordariomycetes; Xylariales; Xylariaceae
Description: tRNA-Thr
Rfam family: tRNA
About the family: Transfer RNA (tRNA) molecules are approximately 80 nucleotides in length. Their secondary structure includes four short double-helical elements and three loops (D, anti-codon, and T loops).
Source: RNAcentral